RNAcentral lists this long non-coding RNA (337 nucleotides) under Cricetulus griseus (Chinese hamster). Its description in RNAcentral is "lncRNA (ENSCGRG00000026083.1)". Lineage: Eukaryota; Metazoa; Chordata; Mammalia; Rodentia; Cricetidae. The record is from RNAcentral.
UUUCUCUAACCUUUGGCUAUUAUACUCCACUGAUAACUUUUUGUUCUAAAAACUCUUUUCCUUUUUAAAAACAACAGAACCUUUUCAGUAUACUGCAUGGGAACUAGUUGCUGAAGAUUAUGAUGAAGAAGCAGAAGACUUUCAGGCCGAGACAGAAGUGGACGAGGAGCAGGAGGAAGAGGAGGAGGAGGAGGAGGAGGGUGAAGAAAAGAUGAGAGAAAAAAAGAGGCACCUGGGAGACACAAAGCACUUCUGCCCAGUAGUUCUCAAAGAAAACUUCAUCCUCCAGCCAGGCAACUUGGAAGAGGCUGUGAAGUACCGAGAAAAUAUAUACUAC